This 961-nucleotide small RNA is filed under the name Pongo abelii (Sumatran orangutan). Its description in RNAcentral is "processed transcript". The record is from RNAcentral. Lineage: Eukaryota; Metazoa; Chordata; Mammalia; Primates; Hominidae.
GAGGCUUUGCGGUGGUUGCUUGGCUUGGCGGUGGCCGCUUGGCUUGGCGGUGGUCGCUUGGCUUGGAGUGGCAGUGAUCGCUUGGCUUGGCAUUUCUGGCUUGGCAGUGCUCCUUUCGCAGAUUGGAAACCGCAGGCUAUCCUGCUGGGAGGUUGUGGCCGAGGUAGUAGCUCGCUACUGAUGGCCUCCUGGGGUGGAGAAAAGCGGGGAGGGGCUGAGGGGUCUCCGAAGCCGGCAGUCUCCGCCAUGAGGAAGACCCCUAGUGUCGGGAGCCAGGAGGACCAGUGGUACUUGGGCUACCCGGGGGACCAGUGGUCCUCAGGCUUCUCCUCCAGCUGGUGGAAAAACAGCGCUGGCAGCGAGAGCAAGCACGAUGAGGGCGCCUUAGACCAGCCCCAGCACGACGUCCGCCUGGAAGAUCUUGGCGAGCUCCACAGAGCUGCCCGGUCGGGCGACGUCCCUGGAGUGGAGCGCGUCUUGGCUCCUGGAGACACUGGCGUGGACAAGAGGGAUAGGAAGAAGAGCAUUCAGCAACUAGUUCCUGAAUAUAAGGAAAAACAGACACCUAAAAAUCUUCCUCAAAAUAACAAUCCAGAUUGGCAUCCUACUAAUUUGACCCUUAGUGAUGAGACUUGUCAGAGAUCCAAGAAUCUGAAAGUUGAUGAUAAAUGUCCAUCUGUAUCACCAUCAAUGCCUGAAAAUCAGUCAGCAACCAAAGAAUUGGGACAGAUGAACUUAACAGAACGAGAAAAGAUGAACAUUAGAGUUGUACUUCUCUCAGGGAAUGAUACUCUCCAUGACCUGUGCCAAUCACAGCUACCAGAAAACAAAGAGAGGAAAGAAGCAGAACAAGACUUGGAGCUGACAUCAGAGGAAGAGCAAGAAAGACUUAAAGGAUGUGAAAAUAAGCAGCCACAGGACAAAGCUAUUUUUAAAACAUGUAGCCCAACAGAGAAGACAC